Molecule: ribosomal RNA, 579 nt
Filed under: Papiliotrema laurentii
Lineage: Eukaryota; Fungi; Basidiomycota; Tremellomycetes; Tremellales; Rhynchogastremaceae
Description: partial large subunit ribosomal RNA
Rfam family: Eukaryotic large subunit ribosomal RNA
Source: RNAcentral
UGAGGAAAAGAAACUAACUAGGAUUCCCUUAGUAACGGCGAGUGAACCGGGAUGAGCUCAAAUUUAAAAUCUGGCGUCUUUCAGGCGUCCGAGUUGUAAUCUAUAGAGGCGUUUUCCGCGCCGGACCGCGUCCAAGUCCCUUGGAAUAGGGUAUCAAAGAGGGUGACAAUCCCGUACUUGACGCGACAACCGGUGCUCUGUGAUACGUUCUCAACGAGUCGAGUUGUUUGGGAAUGCAGCUCUAAACGGGUGGUAAAUUCCAUCUAAGGCUAAAUAUUGGCGAGAGACCGAUAGCGAACAAGUACCGUGAGGGAAAGAUGAAAAGCACUUUGGAAAGAGAGUUAAACAGCACGUGAAAUUGUUAAAAGGGAAACGAUUGAAGUCAGUCGUGUGAAAGGUAUUCAGCCGUCUCUGGCGGUGUAUUUGCCUUUCACGGGUCAACAUCAGUUUAGUCCGGUAGAAAAAGGCGGGAGGAAGGUGGCACCCUCGGGUGUGUUAUAGCCUCCUGUCACAUGUGCCGGAUUAGACUGAGGAACGCAGCUUGCAGCAAUGCCGGGGUUCGCCCACGUACAAGCUUAG